Macaca mulatta (Rhesus monkey) is the source of this 1732-nucleotide long non-coding RNA. The record is from Ensembl. NCBI's taxonomy places the organism in Eukaryota, Metazoa, Chordata, Mammalia, Primates, Cercopithecidae.
UUUCUAUCAUAUAUUUAUAUUUGUGACAUUUGCUAUAAUGUGAUAAUUCCUUGGGUUUUAAUAAGCAAGCUAAUAGUCUUUAAAAAAUUACCUGAUAUGUAUGACUUAAUUGUUGGCGCAAUUAAGCAGUAACUGUAAAAUUAGUGAGUAAAUACCAUUCAACCACAAGUAUAUAUGCUAAUAUGACAGACGGCAGAGAAUUAUACCCCGAAAAUGAGCUUUCCUCAACGUUCCCUUCUAGCUACCUGAAAAAGGAAGGUCUACUGAAUCUCUACUAGUAGACACCAUUGAUCUCCACUGAUUUACAAGAAUAAUAAUGUGAAACCAAUGAAAACAUGAUGGCAUGCAGCACAGAUGGAAGGUAGAACACAGUUACAGAUGGUGAUGUUGCCAUUUGAAAGUAAGAAGAAAACUGGUAUCUCUUGGGUUACCAAGAGUAAAAAUAUAGAAGAUGCUUAUAAACUGCCAUCCAUAGAGUUUCUUGAAAUCACAGUUUGGGAAUGGAGGAAAAGGCUGCUUGAGUGUUUGGAAAUGGAGACUAAGGAUGAGAUAGAGUGGGUGAAUUCUGGCAUUAAACAACUGAGAGGAAGGUGCUAAAGUGGAUGGCUCCCUUUAUGGAAGAAUGAUGGAUGGUAGAAACUCUAUUGGGGGAAGGAAAAGAAGGUGGGUAACUCCUUAUAAUCUCCCUGUCAACUUAACUGCUGACUAAAAAACUAACGUUAUUUGCUAGUAAGAAACACCUUAACUCUUAACUGCCUUUACUAGGAUGCCCCAAGCUAGGGAUUGCCUAGGAAAAUAGAACCCGGGAUUUAUCAGGUAUGGCUUCGGGGGGAUGGGAGGGUCAUGUCAUGAAAGCUAUGCCAUUCCCUCAAAUUGUUUAGUAUUUUAAAAGUUCUGAAUUUAUUAAUCUGAAUCAGAAUCUGUGAGCUGCCAUUGAUGAUCCAGAUAGGUCUUUGCAUUGUCUAAGCCUUUUCCUUGACUACAUCCUUGAAAUUAUUUAGUAAAGUUUGAUAGGUAAAAUCUCUGAUUCCCGAGAGUCUGAUUUGACAAUUGGGUCCUGUAAAUUAGCUCAAUGACCUAAGUGGAUAGAGGUUUUACGCGUUACUAAAGCUACUAGCUAAGCCUGGCCUUUAAGGGAGAUCAGUGAGGGUCUCUCUAAGUGUCUUGCAUAAGCAUCAAAAUAUAUUUAAUUUGUGUCACACAAGAGCCUGGGUGAUUAAUAUGUGUGGCUUCUGCAUCUACCAUUUGAAUAAUGUUAGAAAUAAUUUGUUGAAAUGGGAAUUUUAUGGCCUCAUUGUUAAACGAGUCCUAAAGAUUACCAACAAAAUCAUCAUGGCAAGUAUGACCACAUUCCAGCAGGAUAUGCCUCAUCAUCAGUGCAAGCCUUGAAAAAGAGGUGAAGAAAACAGAUAUGGAAACUUUGACCUUUCACUGAUUUCUAGAGUACAACAGUUGGAGUUGAAAGGGCCAAGGAUAUCGAGAAUUAAUUCUUUCUUUGAAGAAUAUGAAUCUUUGAUUUGCUAUAAUUCCUAUAAUAAAGGAAGAAUGUCCUUUUCACCUGAAGCCUAGUGGGAAUGGCUUCACAAAGGUCAGUCAGAUUUUGGGAAUCAAUGAAACAGAUACAUUCCUCCUUCUUAACUAAACUGCUUCUCAAUGCAUCCCCCUCUCACUCCAUCAAUAACGGGGAACAAGAAAUCUCAAACAGCCGGUAGUUGGGGAGAAGUCAGUCGAG